Molecule: ribosomal RNA, 200 nt
Filed under: uncultured bacterium
Lineage: Bacteria
Description: partial 16S ribosomal RNA
Rfam family: Bacterial small subunit ribosomal RNA
Source: RNAcentral
GAUGAACGCUAGCGGCAGGCUUAAUACAUGCAAGACGAACGGUAAGAAUUGUAGCAAUACGAUUCCUAGAGUGUCGUACGGGUGCGUACACGUAUGCAACCUACCUUGUACAGGAGUAUAGCUCGGUGAAAACCGAAUUAACCCUCCAUAAUAUCACGAGAUGGCAUCAUUUUAUGAUUAAAACUGAGGUGGUACAAGAU